Molecule: ribosomal RNA, 431 nt
Filed under: uncultured eukaryote
Lineage: Eukaryota
Description: SSU rRNA
Rfam family: Eukaryotic small subunit ribosomal RNA
Source: RNAcentral
UGUGGCAAUUCUAGAGCUAAUACAUGCAAUCAAGCUCCAACCUUCGUGGGACGAGCGCUCUUAUUAGACCAAGGCCAACCUGCUGGGCAACUGGCAGUUAGCUGUGGUGACUCUAGAUAAACACAGUUGAUCGCACGACUUUACGUCGGCGACGUAUCUUUCAAGCGUAUGCCCUAUCAGCUGUCGACGGUAGGGUAGCGGCCUACCGUGGCAUCAACGGGUAACGGGGGAUCAGGGUCCGAUCCCGGAGAGUAAGCCUGAGAGACGGCUUACACAUCUAAGGAAGGCAGCAGGCGCGCAAAUUACCCAAUGGGGAAACCCUGAGGUAGUGACUAAGAAAUAACUAUACGCGACUCUUUCGAGGCCGCGUAAUUGGAAUGAGCACGGUCUAAAUCCUUUAGCGAGGAAUCGAUUGGAAGGGCGAGUCUGGU